Ziziphus jujuba (common jujube) is the source of this 1958-nucleotide RNA transcript. It is a transcript of the gene named ultraviolet-B receptor UVR8, with no coding region annotated. The record is from RefSeq and is a predicted model, not a curated record. Lineage: Eukaryota; Viridiplantae; Streptophyta; Magnoliopsida; Rosales; Rhamnaceae. The transcript is spliced from 10 exons.
UCGUACUCGAGUUUUCUUUCUUCUUCACGGGAAAAUCCCAAAAUCGCAGACACGAACGCUUUUGCUUCAUGAUCUGUGAAGAGAAAGAUAAAAACAGAGAGAGAGAGAGAGAUAGAGAUCGGAGAGAAAAUCGGAUAAUCUAUUUUCGUUUUGCGGUGAAGCCUUUUUUUACUGUGUUUCGCUUUGAGCUUUAGUUGAGCAGAAGAAGAAGAAGAAGAAGAAGAGGUUUUAGUUGGCGAUUUGUAGUUUUCGGUUGGAUUCGGCGAUGGAUGGCAGUGAAGGAGGAGAAGGAAGCGUGAAAAUGGAGGAAUGUAAGCAAACUCUGGUCUAUAUGUGGGGUUAUCUUCCCGGAGCUUCUUCCGAGAAAGCUCCGAUACUGUCACCGAUGCCUGUCAGUCUACCGGAUAUGAUUUCCGGCAAAGAUUCAUGGAGAGACGUUAGUGGUGGCGGUUGUGGAUUCGCCAUGGCUAUUUCAGGGUCUGGGAAGCUUAUAACAUGGGGAUCAACGGACGAUGAAGGCCAAAGCUAUGUUACUUCCGGGAAGCAUGGGGAGAUUCCAGAGCCUUUUCUUCUUCCAACUGAGGCUUCAGUAGUGAAGGCAGCUGCUGGAUGGGCUCACUGUGUUUCGGUCACAGACAUUGGAGAAGCAUACACGUGGGGGUGGAAAGAAUGUAUUCCCUCUGGAAAACUUAUUUGCGACUUGGUUUCACUAGGAAGCUUCCAGAAGGACACUUCAGCAAAACAUGUUCCAUCGGUAUCCGAACAAGUAAGUCAAAGGUCCGAGGCCUCUAGUUUGACAAGUGGGGAGAUUUCUCCUGGUGACAACAAAAAGGCUGGAGAAGAAAUUGUGAAGCGAAGAAAACUAUCAUCUGCUAAACAAGAAUCUGAUGGCUCGGUAGCUGCUGAUGAAUUCUUCAUGGCAUCUCCUAGUAUUGUUAAUCUGGGUCCUGGAGUGAAGAUCACCACAGUUGCUGCAGGUGGGCGUCACACUUUGGCACUUUCAGAUAUGGGACAGGUAUGGGGUUGGGGCUAUGGAGGCGAAGGACAACUAGGCUUGGGCUCACGGGUAAAGAUGGUGUCUACUCCUCAUGUCAUACCUUGCAUUGAGCCACCUGUUUCGGGGAAGGAUAGAUCUUCAGCAAUUGCUCUAGAUGGCAAGACUCUAUCGGCACAAUUUUCUAAAGCUCCAGGAAGUUAUGUGAAGGAAAUAGCUUGUGGUGGUCGGCAUAGUGCAAUAAUAACUGAUGCUGGGGUGCUACUUACUUUCGGCUGGGGACUUUAUGGACAGUGUGGGCAUGGGAGUACACAAGAUCAGCUGAGGCCAACUUGUGUGAAUUCGCUAUCGGGUAUUCAAGUGAAAACAAUGGCUGCAGGACUAUGGCAUACUUUAUGUAUCUCUGUUGAGGGAAAUGUGUACACAUUUGGUGGGAAUCAGUUUGGACAGUUGGGAACUGGAGUUGACCAAAUUGAGCAUGUAGGUGACGACAUACUAAGGGAAUUAAGGACAACAUGCUAUGUCCAAUAGAGUGUGGUUUAACCCUUGCGAUUUCUAAGCUUUUGAGAGAUUGACACUAGAAAGCCAGUAUUUUUGGUUUCUUAACUGCUCCCGUUCGAGUUCUUUUUUGAGUUUUCAGUUGUCUGAGCUCCUUUUUUGUUUCUUUAUCCUUUUGUCUUAAUGCUUGGAAACAUUAUGUUGGGUACAACUCAUCUCCUGUCUCCACUAGCGCUUCUGUUUCCUAUUUCUUGAAUUAGACUUUUAUAUGCAGAGGAAGUGUUUAGUUUACGCUUUUGUAAUGUUUGUCAUGUGGCUCAGACUCUACCUAGACGUUUAGACUCUUCUAGUUUGGAAAGUAAGCAUGCCAAGAUAGCAUCCUGCGGGGCUCGCCAUAGUGUCAUACUGACAGAGGAAGGCCAGUUAUUUAGCUGGGGAUGGAACAAGUAUGGCCAAGUAUGGAUCU